RNAcentral lists this ribosomal RNA (253 nucleotides) under uncultured bacterium. Its description in RNAcentral is "partial 16S ribosomal RNA". It matches the Rfam family "Bacterial small subunit ribosomal RNA", at positions 524 to 776 of the family's 1533-position model. The record is from RNAcentral.
UACGUAGGGUGCGAGCGUUAAUCGGAAUUACUGGGCGUAAAGCGUGCGCAGGCGGCGCGUUAAGACAGGUGUGAAAGCCCCGAGCUUAACUUGGGAAUUGCAUUCGAUACUGGGAAGCUAGAGUAUGGGAGAGGAUGGUAGAAUUCCAGGUGUAGCGGUGAAAUGCGUAGAGAUCUGGAGGAAUACCGAUGGCGAAGGCAGCCAUCUGGCCUAAUACUGACGCUGAGGUACGAAAGCGUGGGGAGCAAACAGG